CCUACGGGCGGCAGCAGUGGGGAAUAUUGCACAAUGGGCGCAAGCCUGAUGCAGCCAUGCCGCGUGUGUGAAGAAGGCCUUCGGGUUGUAAAGCACUUUCAGCGGGGAGGAAGGCGUUAAGGUUAAUAACCUUGGCGAUUGACGUUACCCGCAGAAGAAGCACCGGCUAACUCCGUGCCAGCAGCCGCGGUAAUACGGGGGGUGCAAGCGUUAAUCGGAAUUACUGGGCGUAAAGCGCACGCAGGCGGUCUGUCAAGUCGGAUGUGAAAUCCCCGGGCUCAACCUGGGAACUGCAUUCGAAACUGGCAGGCUAGAGUCUUGUAGAGGGGGGUAGAAUUCCAGGUGUAGCGGUGAAAUGCGUAGAGAUCUGGAGGAAUACCGGUGGCGAAGGCGGCCCCCUGGACAAAGACUGACGCUCAGGUGCGAAAGCGUGGGGAGCAAACAGGAUUAGAUACCCGAGUAGUC
RNAcentral lists this ribosomal RNA (465 nucleotides) under uncultured Klebsiella sp. RNAcentral's name for it is "bacterial SSU rRNA". It matches the Rfam family "Bacterial small subunit ribosomal RNA", at positions 338 to 795 of the family's 1533-position model. Lineage: Bacteria; Pseudomonadati; Pseudomonadota; Gammaproteobacteria; Enterobacterales; Enterobacteriaceae. The record is from RNAcentral.